RNAcentral lists this ribosomal RNA (439 nucleotides) under uncultured bacterium. RNAcentral describes it as "partial 16S ribosomal RNA". It matches the Rfam family "Bacterial small subunit ribosomal RNA", at positions 339 to 795 of the family's 1533-position model. The record is from RNAcentral.
CUACGGGGCGCUGCAGUGAGGAAUAUUGCACAAUGGGGGGAACCCUGAUGCAACAACGCCGCGUGGAGGAUGACGCAUUUCGGUGUGUAAUCUCCUUUUAUAUGUCAAGAAAAUGACGGUAGCAUACGAAUAAGCACCGGCUAACUCCGUGCCAGCAGCCGCGGUAAUACGGAGGGUGCAAGCGUUACUCGGAAUCACUGGGCGUAAAGGACGCGUAGGCGGGUUGGAAAGUCAGGUGUGAAAUCCUACAGCUUAACUGUAGAACUGCACUUGAAACUUCUAAUCUAGAGUAUGGGAGGGGGAGAUGGAAUUAGUGGUGUAGGGGUAAAAUCCGUAGAUAUCACUAGGAAUACCUAAAGCGAAGGCGAUCUCCUGGAACAUUACUGACGCUAAGGCGUGAAAGCGUGGGGAGCAAACAGGCUUAGAUACCCGCGUAGUC